RNAcentral lists this ribosomal RNA (423 nucleotides) under Morganella sp. CK265. RNAcentral describes it as "bacterial SSU rRNA". It matches the Rfam family "Bacterial small subunit ribosomal RNA", at positions 929 to 1348 of the family's 1533-position model. Lineage: Bacteria; Pseudomonadati; Pseudomonadota; Gammaproteobacteria; Enterobacterales; Morganellaceae. The record is from RNAcentral.
GCGGGCCCCGGGCGGGGCGGGGGCACGGGGGGAACGCGAAGAACCUUACCUACUCUUGACAUCCAGAGAACUUGGCAGAGAUGCUUUGGUGCCUUCGGGAACUCUGAGACAGGUGCUGCAUGGCUGUCGUCAGCUCGUGUUGUGAAAUGUUGGGUUAAGUCCCGCAACGAGCGCAACCCUUAUCCUUUGUUGCCAGCGCGUAAUGGCGGGAACUCAAAGGAGACUGCCGGUGAUAAACCGGAGGAAGGUGGGGAUGACGUCAAGUCAUCAUGGCCCUUACGAGUAGGGCUACACACGUGCUACAAUGGCGUAUACAAAGGGAAGCGACCCCGCGAGGGCAAGCGGAACUCAUAAAGUACGUCGUAGUCCGGAUUGGAGUCUGCAACUCGACUCCAUGAAGUCGGAAUCGCUAGUAAUCGUAGA